UGGGGAAUAUUGGACAAUGGGCGAAAGCCUGAUCCAGCCAUGCCGCGUGUGUGAAGAAGGUCUUCGGAUUGUAAAGCACUUUAAGUUGGGAGGAAGGGCAUUAACCUAAUACGUUAGUGUUUUGACGUUACCGACAGAAUAAGCACCGGCUAACUCUGUGCCAGCAGCCGCGGUAAUACAGAGGGUGCAAGCGUUAAUCGGAAUUACUGGGCGUAAAGCGCGCGUAGGUGGUUUGUUAAGUUGGAUGUGAAAUCCCCGGGCUCAACCUGGGAACUGCAUUCAAAACUGACUGACUAGAGUAUGGUAGAGGGUGGUGGAAUUUCCUGUGUAGCGGUGAAAUGCGUAGAUAUAGGAAGGAACACCAGUGGCGAAGGCGAUCACCUGGACUAAUACUGACACUGAGGUGCGAAAGCGUGGGGAGCAAACA
This 427-nucleotide ribosomal RNA is filed under the name uncultured bacterium. RNAcentral's name for it is "partial 16S ribosomal RNA". It matches the Rfam family "Bacterial small subunit ribosomal RNA", at positions 355 to 774 of the family's 1533-position model. The record is from RNAcentral.